AGGCAGCAUGCGAGGCACUGGGGCCAUGAACCUGACCAAGAUGAGCCUAUAACAGCCCUGGAGGAGACAGGUGAAGAAACAGCAUCACGGCACAGUGACCUGAAGGGCCGAGGAGGACGCUCAUGCUGCGGCGCAGAGGCUGGCCAGACCUGGCGGGGAAGGUGCUGCUUGUUGAAGACCAGGGAGGAGAUGGCAGAUGUGAGGGGCUGAGAGGUACCCUCCAAGGUGGAAGUAGGGAUCAUGUCUUCUCAGCUGUGGCCCCUUUGCAGCCGGUUCCACGGGAAAAGCAAAACAAAACAGCGGGGCAUUUUGCAUGGUCCACCAGCUUCUGAACGUACUUGGCCACCCCGUGACCUUCAGAACCAGCCCAGUGUACCUUGAA
This is a long non-coding RNA of Myotis lucifugus (little brown bat), 382 nucleotides long. RefSeq lists it as uncharacterized. Lineage: Eukaryota; Metazoa; Chordata; Mammalia; Chiroptera; Vespertilionidae. The transcript is spliced from 3 exons. The record is from RefSeq and is a predicted model, not a curated record.